Molecule: transfer RNA, 74 nt
Filed under: Halobacteroides halobius DSM 5150
Lineage: Bacteria; Bacillati; Bacillota; Clostridia; Halanaerobiales; Halobacteroidaceae
Rfam family: tRNA
About the family: Transfer RNA (tRNA) molecules are approximately 80 nucleotides in length.
Source: Rfam by way of RNAcentral
GUGCUCGUGGCUCAACUGGAUAGAGCGUCUGAUUACGGAUCAGAAGGUUGGGGGUUCAAAUCCUCCCGAGCACG